UAGUCCACGCCGUAAACGAUGAUAACUGGGUUUUUGCGAUUUAUUUGCAGGAGCCUGAGGGAAACCAUUAAGUUAUCCACCUGGGGAGUACGUUCGCAAGUAUGAAACUCAAAGGAAUUGACGGGGGCCCGCACAAGCGGAGGAACAUGUGGUUUAAUUCGAUGAUACGCGAGGAACCUUACCCAGGCUUAAAUGUAGAUUGACAGGUUUAGAGAUAGACUUUUCUUCGGACAAUUUACAAGGUGCUGCAUGGUUGUCGUCAGCUCGUGCCGUGAGGUGUCAGGUUAAGUCCUAUAACGAGCGCAACCCCUGCCGUUAGUUGCCAGCAUUUAAAGAUGGGGACUCUAACGGGACUGCCGGUGCAAACCGCGAGGAAGGUGGGGACGACGUCAAAUCAUCACGGCCCUUACGUCCUGGGCUACACACGUGCUACAAUGGCCGGUACAGAGAGUUGCCACAUCGCAAGAUGGAGCGGAUCUUUUAAAACCGGUCACAGUUCGGAUCGGGGUCUGCAACUCGACCCCGUGAAG
Molecule: ribosomal RNA, 530 nt
Filed under: uncultured bacterium
Lineage: Bacteria
Description: bacterial SSU rRNA
Rfam family: Bacterial small subunit ribosomal RNA
Source: RNAcentral